RNAcentral lists this unclassified non-coding RNA (283 nucleotides) under uncultured fungus. RNAcentral's name for it is "partial contains small subunit ribosomal RNA, internal transcribed spacer 1, and 5.8S ribosomal RNA". The stretch from base 1 to 73 matches the Rfam family "Eukaryotic small subunit ribosomal RNA", at positions 1759 to 1831 of the family's 1831-position model. Lineage: Eukaryota; Fungi. The record is from RNAcentral.
GCAAACUUGGUCAUUUAGAGGAAGUAAAAGUCGUAACAAGGUUUCCGUAGGUGAACCUGCGGAAGGAUCAUUACAAAUCGAGGAGGCUGGUUGGGGGAAGGGGGUGGUUGGUGUGUGCUCUUUGGUCGCUAGGCCGUUGGGUCCGCACCGACUCGCUCCACCUUUCCCUCCACUCUGCAUCCACAUUUGCGCUUGUUGUGUUUGACAGAGUAACUGUGCCAAAUAGUCAAUGACAACUUUUAACAAUGGAUCUCUUGGCUCUUGCAUCGAUGAAGAACGCAGC